RNAcentral lists this transfer RNA (71 nucleotides) under Marmota monax (woodchuck). Its description in RNAcentral is "tRNA.Ala". It matches the Rfam family "tRNA". Rfam says of the family: Transfer RNA (tRNA) molecules are approximately 80 nucleotides in length. Their secondary structure includes four short double-helical elements and three loops (D, anti-codon, and T loops). Lineage: Eukaryota; Metazoa; Chordata; Mammalia; Rodentia; Sciuridae. The record is from RNAcentral.
GGGGUUGUGGCUCAGUGGUAGAGUUCUUGCCUAGCAUGCAUGAGGCACUGGGUUCCAUUCUCAGCACCACA